CGGGGUUAAACAUGUAACCGGCAUCCCAAUCCUCCCACUAAACUGGGACAGUGGUGUAACAGUACAACAUUAGAAUGAACAAAACAAAUCAAGUAAAAAAGGUUCAACUCAUCAGAUAGAUACAAACAGAAAUAAUACCAUGUGAACGUGGCCGGGUACUUGUAUAUCCUAUCGACAAAAUGACACUAUGUACAGAUCUGUGAGUACUAGCAGUAACUUACAGCUAGUUCAAAGCCACUAACAACUAAUUUAAAAAAAAACAUGCAUCUUAGUCUAUUUCUAGAUGAAAACGCCAUAUCGAUGGAAAUUAGAAUAUACUAGGC
This 323-nucleotide long non-coding RNA is filed under the name Mytilus galloprovincialis (Mediterranean mussel). Lineage: Eukaryota; Metazoa; Mollusca; Bivalvia; Mytilida; Mytilidae. The record is from RNAcentral.